Molecule: long non-coding RNA, 1805 nt
Organism: Gadus morhua (Atlantic cod)
Lineage: Eukaryota; Metazoa; Chordata; Actinopteri; Gadiformes; Gadidae
Source: Ensembl
AUGUUUUUUAAUCCUUUAUGGUAUUUUUCAUUUAAUUCUAUUAAACAGGUCAGUUGCAGCAGUCUUUAUAUCACGGACGACUCCAACACGGCAAUAUUUCAUCACACAGUCAUUAUGAGGUCCACGGCGAUGCAGAGCACCUUCCACCCGCUGCUGGUGCUCCUGCUUUUGGGUUCAUGCGCCGACCCUCACCGGCUUCUGCUUCUGCCACAUCUUUUUCUGCGUCUGGUUUUUCCACUGAAACACCACCACCACCACCAUGAGCUGGAACUCCACGAGUUAGUGGAGCUAGCUUGUUCCAGGGAAGAUCAUUCCAAAGGUCAAUCCAUCUGGCAGAAAUUGUUAAUGAGAAACUCAGUCCUUCCAGGACAGUAAUUGUGCGCUUUUUGGAAGCUGAGGCCUGCGUUGAACGAAUUUCGGCCAAAGUUCAAGAUGCCGUGGGCUCUGAUGAGCCUAUUACCUUGACGGACACCCAAGGAAACGAAAUAAUGGACUCUGAGGGCACAAGAAGUAAGUUGUAUGAUCAGAAACUUGCUUCUAAUUUGUGGUUUCUAAUAAACCUUAAUGUUGAUUUUAAAGGAGUCAUUGAUUGCAAAAAAACAAAUUUACCUUGUCACAGUUGAUUAACGACAGUUCAGUGGGUAAAAUGUACAUACAAUGAACCCUUAAAGUCCAUUGACACUUCUUUCAUAUGCAAAUCUCACAAUUAAAAACCGGUAGGUAUGUAAAGCAGGAUUUGCUAAGAAGAUGUAGCUGAAAAGGUGCUGUUCUGACCCUUUGUUCAUUACAACCGCAAGCUGUAGUAUUAUGUUGUUGCUAACGUAUCCUCCCUGUUUCUAUUAUCGGUAGAUGUGAUGGUUUAGUUUAUUGGCAAUGUGGCAAUUGUUUACAGCCCAACCAAUGUUACAUACCCAGAGGUGUCAAGUAACAAAGUACAAAUACUUCGUUACCUUACUUAAGUAGAAAUUUUGGGUAUCUAUACUUUACUGGAGUAAUUAUUUUUCAGCCUACUUUUUACUUCUACUUCUUACAUUUUCAUGCACUUAUCUGUACUUUCUACUCGUUACUUUUUAAAAAUGGCCUUGUUACUCUUAUUUAAUUUCGGCUUGUUUUUAUUCUGCUGGCGUUCAAAAAAAUACAAACAAAAAAACCUAUCCAGAUUAUUCGCGCCAUCGGAUAGAGUGAAUUUGAUUGGUUGGAUGAGAAUAGAAACAUAUACCAUUCUGACACCCUAUUGGUUUAUACGCGAUCCAUGGCACCUGUGCAUGACCAGAGCCCGUACAUUCUCUGACAUGACAUAAAUCGCGGCACAUUCCAGCUACGAAAUAGCAGUCGUAGAUGAGCGAAAUGUCCCAACCAAGCACCAGUGAGGAGGUUGGUAGCCAAGAAGACCAGCCAACCCUUCUACGUCACUGGCCGUACCUGGAAGAAUUUUUUGAAAUGGUUGUAUAGUCAUUAGAUGGCCUUUAGAAAAAUGUUUUUUUUGGGGGAAGUGGGGCAGUGUGCUAUAGAGGUGUGUUGUGUGUAUGUGUCACUAAUUCACGGAUUGGAUAAAUGCAGAGACCAAAUUCCUUGUAUGUGUGGGCAUACUUGGCCAAAAAGCUGAUUGUAAUCUAUAGGCCCCUGUGGCACGGCCUAAGCUUUUGUCCUUAAUGGCAUUUUUUCCCCCUUGCAUUACUUUUACUUUAAUACCUUAAGUAGUUUUGAAACCAGUACUUUUAUACUUUUACUUAAGUAAAAGCUUGAGUUGAUACUUCAACCUCUACAGAAGUAUCUUUAAAUGCUAGUAUCUAUACUUCUACUUG